RNAcentral lists this long non-coding RNA (291 nucleotides) under Homo sapiens (human). RNAcentral describes it as "long non-coding RNA NONHSAT040464.2". Lineage: Eukaryota; Metazoa; Chordata; Mammalia; Primates; Hominidae. The record is from RNAcentral.
CUGUGAAGUUAACUAAUGGAGUCAGACAGAGAAAUACUACAGACCAGGAAUUCUGCCUUUUCUGCAAAGCCUCUGGAUUCACUUUCACUGAAAACAGCAUAAGCUUGAUCCAGCAGGCUUCAUGACAGGGGUGGGUGUGGGUAAUAACAAUAAUUCAAAUAGAAGUUCUCAGUGGGACUCUCCUUGAGUAAAAAGAUGAUUAACAAUCCUCAAAUACACUCAGUUCAGGAGAUUCUCUUUUAAGAUGAUUAACCUGAGAGCUCAGGAAAAGUCCGUGUAUUACUUUGAGGG